GAUGAACGCUGGCUACAGGCUUAACACAUGCAAGUCGAGGGGAAACGACGGGGAAGCUUGCUUCCCCGGGCGUCGACCGGCGCACGGGUGAGUAACGUGUAUCCAACCUGCCUCUGAAUGAGGGAUAACCCGUUGAAAGUCGGCCUAAUACUUCAUGGUAUUGUCUGCGGGCAUCCAACGACGAUUAAAGAUUUCAUCGGUCAGGGAUGGGGAUGCGUCUGAUUAGCUUGUGGGCGGGGUAACGGCCCACCAAGGCUACGAUCAGUAGGGGUUCUGAGAGGAAGGUCCCCCACAUUGGAACUGAGACACGGUCCAAACUCCUACGGGAGGCAGCAGUGAGGAAUAUUGGUCAAUGGGCGAGAGCCUGAACCAGCCAAGCAGCGUGCAGGAAGACGGCCCUAUGGGUUGUAAACUGCUUUUAUGCGGGGAUAAAGUGAGGGACGUGUCCCUCAUUGCAGGUACCGCAUGAAUAAGGACCGGCUAAUUCCGUGCCAGCAGCCGCGGUAAUACGGAAGGUCCCGGCGUUAUCCGGAUUUAUUGGGUUUAAAGGGAGCGUAGGCCGUGGAUUAAGCGUGUUGUGAAAUGCAGGUGCUCAACGUCUGCACUGCAGCGCGAACUGGUCCACUUGAGUGUGCGCAACGCAGGCGGAAUUCGUCGUGUAGCGGUGAAAUGCUUAGAUAUGACGAAGAACUCCGAUUGCGAAGGCAGCUUGCGGGAGCACAACUGACGGUGAAGCUCGAAAGUGCGGGUAUCGAACAGG
This 760-nucleotide ribosomal RNA is filed under the name uncultured Prevotella sp. RNAcentral's name for it is "bacterial SSU rRNA". It matches the Rfam family "Bacterial small subunit ribosomal RNA", at positions 28 to 776 of the family's 1533-position model. Lineage: Bacteria; Pseudomonadati; Bacteroidota; Bacteroidia; Bacteroidales; Prevotellaceae. The record is from RNAcentral.